Molecule: long non-coding RNA, 199 nt
Organism: Strongylocentrotus purpuratus (purple sea urchin)
Lineage: Eukaryota; Metazoa; Echinodermata; Echinoidea; Camarodonta; Strongylocentrotidae
Exons: 2
Source: RefSeq, a predicted model, not a curated record
UGAGGAGGUAAAAUUUACUUAAGAGCUGGUCAAUCGGUAGUGCAUGCUCAUGAUAAGCCUUGUUUGUUCUUCUAUAUCUUUUUUUCAACAAUGUUGCCAACGGUGCAGAAAAGUUGCUCAAUUCAAAUGUUAUAAAAUAGAAUUACAGGUAUAUUACGGUUAGAGAGGAAUCUUAACAUUGUUUAAGAAGAAAGAAAAA